CACCAUUCGCCCCUUCGGUUCAAUCUGUUCAGACUCACCAUUCGCGGAAAUCGUUUUCGAGAGUAGACACGUCUCUACGAAAAGAACGCGCCAUGGUUCUUUAGGGUACACAAGGAGUUGUCUUACACGACCACGUCAUCUGCAUUUUCUAGGGUCGUCUUCAUUGUAGAGAGUUGAUAUGUCGAGGAGACCAGGCUGAGGACGCCGGGGAGACCAGGUUGAGGAUUCGCGUGUUUUAGUAUCGGUGUCAUGCUGGUUACCCUGUGUGUGCAACAGCACUUAAGGUGUGACACACGAUGGAAGGAAGUCUGUCUCAAGUUGCAGCGGACUCCACUCUCCCCGAUGAGGACGGGAACGUCAUGUUUGUUUUAGACCAAACAAAUCGAGUUCGCGCGUUGCCAGAAGACCACUUGGAAGAUGCGCAUUUUCUGAGUCGCGAAAUGUCAAGCUUUGCAGCGAGUGAGCACUUGUUGCAUAUGACAGUUUUCUGUUGUGACCUGCUGAUGCCAUCCGGCGCUACGCAACGACUGCGAUCUGUGGCGUUCCUUUCUUGCACUCUAUCGGUACAACUCUCUGCAUGAAACUUGCGAACAACAUGUCUUUUGCGUUAAAAUCUCUAACGAC
This 624-nucleotide long non-coding RNA is filed under the name Toxoplasma gondii VEG. The record is from RNAcentral. Lineage: Eukaryota; Apicomplexa; Conoidasida; Eucoccidiorida; Sarcocystidae.